AGGGUUGUGACUCAGUGGUAGAGUACUUGCCUAGCAUGUAUGAAGCACUGGGUUCAAUCCCUGGCACCACAU
This 72-nucleotide transfer RNA is filed under the name Ictidomys tridecemlineatus (thirteen-lined ground squirrel). RNAcentral's name for it is "Spermophilus tridecemlineatus (thirteen-lined ground squirrel) tRNA". It matches the Rfam family "tRNA". From Rfam's summary of the family: Transfer RNA (tRNA) molecules are approximately 80 nucleotides in length. Their secondary structure includes four short double-helical elements and three loops (D, anti-codon, and T loops). Lineage: Eukaryota; Metazoa; Chordata; Mammalia; Rodentia; Sciuridae. The record is from Rfam by way of RNAcentral.